AUGGUCUCCCGGCUCCACCAGCGCAGCGCGUCCUCCCGCCGGUCCACCGACAUCUCCGUGAACCGCUGCACGAACUGCGAGCUCCACGACAGGCACCGGGCGCCGCCCAGCGCGGGCAUCCCCAGUCGCGUGCCCAGCAGCCACAACACCAUCCGCACCAGCGUCAGCGCCUCCCGGAGACACAUUGCCGACAUCAGCUGCGCCACCUGA
Molecule: ribosomal RNA, 210 nt
Filed under: Triticum aestivum (bread wheat)
Lineage: Eukaryota; Viridiplantae; Streptophyta; Magnoliopsida; Poales; Poaceae
Description: partial small subunit ribosomal RNA
Source: RNAcentral